CGUAGGAGGCGAGCGUUAUCCUGAUUCACUGGGCGUAAAGCGCGUGCAGGCGGUUCGGUAAGUUGGGUAUGAAAUCUCCUGGCUUAACUAGGAGAGGUUAUCCAAUACUACCGGACUAGAGAGUGGUAGAGGAAGAUGGAAUUCCAGGUGUAGUGGUGAAAUGCGUAGAUAUCUGGAGGAACACCAGUGGCGAAAGCGAUCUUCUGGACCAUUUCUGACGCUCAGACGCGAAAGCUAGGGUAGUAAACGGGAUUAGAGACCCCGGUAAUCCUAGCCGUAAACGAUGUAAACUUGGUGCCGGUGGCUUUAACUCCUUCGGCACCGAAGCUAACGCGAUAAGUUUACCGCCUGGGGACUACGAUCGCAAGAUUA
Molecule: ribosomal RNA, 372 nt
Filed under: uncultured organism
Description: bacterial SSU rRNA
Rfam family: Bacterial small subunit ribosomal RNA
Source: RNAcentral